Molecule: unclassified non-coding RNA, 339 nt
Filed under: soil metagenome
Description: partial contains 5.8S ribosomal RNA, internal transcribed spacer 2, and large subunit ribosomal RNA
Rfam family: 5.8S ribosomal RNA (bases 1-120)
Source: RNAcentral
GAUGAAGAACGUAGCGAAAUGCGAUAAGUAGUGUGAAUUGCAGAAUUCAGUGAAUCAUCGAAUCUUUGAACGCACAUUGCGCCCCUCGGUAUUCCGUGGGGCAUGCCUGUUCGAGCGUCAUUUAACCCCUCAAGCCUAGCUUGGUAUUGGGUGCUUGUCCCGCCUCUCGCGCGGCGACUCACCUCAAAGUCAUUGGCAGCCCGCAUCUCGCCGGCCGUGAGCGCAGCACAGACGCGCUCUUGGCAACGACGGAUCGGCUCUCCAAAAGCUUAUUUCAACCACUGAUCUCGGAUCAGGUAGGGAUACCCGCUGAACUUAAGCAUAUCAAUAAGCGGAGGA